This 481-nucleotide ribosomal RNA is filed under the name uncultured bacterium. RNAcentral describes it as "partial 16S ribosomal RNA". It matches the Rfam family "Bacterial small subunit ribosomal RNA", at positions 28 to 507 of the family's 1533-position model. The record is from RNAcentral.
GACGAACGCUGGCGGCGUGCUUAACACAUGCAAGUCGAACGGGAUCCGGGCCAUCGGGUUUGGUGAGAGUGUCGAACGGGUGAGUAACACGUUAGUAACCCGCCCCCUCCUUUGGGAUAACGUCGGGAAAUGGGCGCUAAUACUGGAUGUUCUUGCUGCAUCGCUUGGGGUUGUUUGGAAAGGGAUUCUGGAGGGGGAUCGGCUCACGGGCUAUCAGCUUGUUGGUGGGGUGAUGGUGUACCAAGGCUGUGUCGGGUAGCCGGCGAGGGAGGGUGACCGGCGACACUGGACCUGGGACACAGCCCAGAGGGCGACGGCAGGCAGGAGUGGGGAAUAAUGCACGAUGGGCGGAAGCCUGAAGCAGCGAUGCCGCGUGAGGGAUGACGGCUUGCGGGUUGUAGACCUCUUUCAGUAUGGUGCAAGGAGCCUUCUUUUGGAGGGAUUGAGGGUACGUGCAAAAGAAGCGCCGGCUAACUACGUG